Molecule: ribosomal RNA, 497 nt
Filed under: uncultured bacterium
Lineage: Bacteria
Description: partial 16S ribosomal RNA
Rfam family: Bacterial small subunit ribosomal RNA
Source: RNAcentral
GAUGAACGCUGGCGGCGUGCCUAAUACAUGCAAGUCGAGCGAACAGACGAGGAGCUUUCUCUUCUGCCGUUAGCGGCGGACGGGUGAGUAACACGUGGAUAACCUACCUAUAAGACUGGGAUAAUUUCGGGAAACCGGAGCUAAUACCGGAUAAUAUAUUCAACCGCAUGGUUCAAUAGUGAAAGACGGCUUUGCUGUUACUUAUAGAUGGAUUCGCGCCGCAUUAGCUAGUUGGUAAGGUAACGGCUUACCAAGGCAACGAUGCGUAGCCGACCUGAGAGGGUGAUCGGCCACACUGGAACUGAGACACGGUCCAGACUCCUACGGGAGGCAGCAGUAGGGAAUCUUCCGCAAUGGGCGAAAGCCUGACGGAGCAACGCCGCGUGAGUGAUGAAGGUCUUCGGAUCGUAAAACUCUGUUAUUAGGGAAGAACAAAUGUGUAAGUAACUAUGCACGUCUUGACGGUACCUAAUCAGAAAGCCACGGCUAACUACGUG